Molecule: long non-coding RNA, 212 nt
Filed under: Elaeis guineensis (African oil palm)
Lineage: Eukaryota; Viridiplantae; Streptophyta; Magnoliopsida; Arecales; Arecaceae
Description: long non-coding RNA (EGUI_LNC032250)
Source: RNAcentral
UUGUAAGUGCUGAUCAUAGAUAAUAGCUGACAAUUCAACAGUACCUGAUUUGUUGAAUUCUGUCGGGACCUAGACAUCUCAUACUACCUCAUGUUGGUGGGGCAUCCCCAAGCCAAAAGAAAGGCCGAAGUAACUAAUCAGGCUCUUUUGCAGGAUUUGAAAAUUAAGUUGGAUCAUGCCAAAGGAUCGUGGACUGAUGAGCUUCACAAUGU